This 464-nucleotide ribosomal RNA is filed under the name uncultured bacterium. Its description in RNAcentral is "bacterial SSU rRNA". It matches the Rfam family "Bacterial small subunit ribosomal RNA", at positions 338 to 795 of the family's 1533-position model. The record is from RNAcentral.
CCUACGGGGGGCAGCAGUGGGGAAUAUUGCACAAUGGGCGCAAGCCUGAUGCAGCCAUGCCGCGUGUAUGAAGAAGGCCUUCGGGUUGUAAAGUACUUUCAGCGGGGAGGAAGGCGAUAAGGUUAAUAACCUUGUCGAUUGACGUUACCCGCAGAAGAAGCACCGGCUAACUCCGUGCCAGCAGCCGCGGUAAUACGGAGGGUGUAAGCGUUAAUCGGAAUUACUGGGCGUAAAGCGCACGCAGGCGGUCUGUCAAGUCAGAUGUGAAAUCCCCGGGCUCAACCUGGGAACUGCAUCUGAUACUGGCAAGCUUGAGUCUCGUAGAGGGGGGUAGAAUUCCAGGUGUAGCGGUGAAAUGCGUAGAGAUCUGGAGGAAUACCGGUGGCGAAGGCGGCCCCCUGGACGAAGACUGACGCUCAGGUGCGAAAGCGUGGGGAGCAAACAGGAUUAGAUACCCGGUAGUC